This is a long non-coding RNA of Dreissena polymorpha, 673 nucleotides long. RefSeq lists it as uncharacterized. The transcript has 2 exons. The record is from RefSeq and is a predicted model, not a curated record. Lineage: Eukaryota; Metazoa; Mollusca; Bivalvia; Myida; Dreissenidae.
AAACACAAUCCCAUUUUUUAUCUUGGGGUAUUUAUAUACAGUUUGGGAUUACAAAGCGAGACAUCUUGGAAUAGUGAUUCAUGGAUUUUCGACUGGGAUAAUUUUAAUACCACGCGUUUGUUUUGUUUGCGUCCAUGGGGAUGUAAACGUAUAUAUACCGUAUGAUAUUUCCUUGCAUGAACAAUACAUUUUAAGGCUUAGAUUCAAACAAUUAACCAUGGGCUCCGCAUCUAGUGUUAUGUCUUACAACGCACCAAAAAGGGACGGAGUGUCCGCCCGGAAGGUAGUGAAAUAUGGUGCCAAGGCGGUCGUCACAGUGAUUCAAGUUGCUGCGGCACUGUCCGAGUGGGGGCUGAUUUAGCGAAGGCUGCUUACUUCAGCGCUAAACAUCUUCGAAAACGACUAUUAAGACAAUAGAUAUACGCAAAUGAACCAUAUAUUGAAAAUAUGUCAACAUCAGCGAUCUUGGACUUGUGUGAACAUUAACUUCAUUUUUUACUUUAUAGUCAUGUAAUAUACUUACUGGUAAUGUUUAGGCAACAUAGCAUGAACUUUUAGUCGACAUGGCGUGAUGUUUUUUCCGUUUAUGAUAAGGCUUGUUUUAUACAAAUAACAGCAUUUCUUGGAUUUAAAAUGACAGUAUAUUUUCAAAAUAAAUUCGUUCUAAAUAUAA